This 3129-nucleotide long non-coding RNA is filed under the name Erythranthe guttata (spotted monkey flower). RNAcentral's name for it is "long non-coding RNA (EGUT_LNC002567)". The record is from RNAcentral. Lineage: Eukaryota; Viridiplantae; Streptophyta; Magnoliopsida; Lamiales; Phrymaceae.
CACCAAAACAUCAGCAAAAAUUCCUCUCCCCUCUCUCCUCUCCAACCCACGACAACCCUCUCCUUCAAAUAAUCCCAAAGGCUUCUCUUGUUCUCCACAAAGAAGCUAGCUCUUCUCCUUCUCUACCCUCAAUAAUUCACCAUAUACUCAUAAAAGGUUUCUCUCGUCAAUAACCUCCAAGAAACAGCCCUCCCACAGCCUUCAAACUCAGCCCAAAGCAUCUCAAGAUCAUCCAUGGCCAAAACUCGAAGACCUCCAUGAAUCCUUCGAUUUCUCCUUCUCCUAUCUUUAAUUUUCUUCAAAUGGGUAAGGACCCCUUGGUCUUUACUGAAAUUGAAUUGCAUGCUAAGAUUAUUUAUGUUUUUAUGUUAAUCUUAUGUGUUUAAGUUUGGGUUUUACGAUUAUAAGAUGAUUGGGUGUAGAAUCAUGAACUAGAUGAUUAGAUUAAAAUUUACAGGUUCAUAGUCACGGUAUUUAAGACACGUUUCGUAGACGAUUUAUUUUUAUAAAAAUGUGAAAUUCCUAGAAAAUAUAGAUCACUCUGUUAUCUUGAAUUGUAUAUAAAGUGUGUCUUAUUUGGAUUAAAAAUGAUUAAGUUGUGAUUUAUUUUCCGGAACUGCACAAAUUAUGUGUCAUGAAAGAAAUGCAUGUCAAAUCUGAUUUUUUAUUACUCCAAUCAUAGUUAUUCCACUUGGAUUAGAUAAUAGACUUUUAAAGGUAAUCUUUGUCAUAAUUUCACGGUGUUUUGAAAAGAAUAUAAUUUUAUUUGGUAUUUUUGAAGUCACUGCUCUGUUUCUGGAUUUUCGACAACAGAGCUGUACGGUUUUACCUAUUCCUCUUAAUUGGAUAGUUAUUUUCGAAAACUGUUUUAUAUGGGUACUCUUAACUUCGAGGAGAGUAUUAUUUUAAAGUUUCAGAAUUUUUGGAUGCAUGAUUAAAGAGAAAUGAAUUUUCAAAACUAAAGUACUAAAACUGCCCUAUUUUAUAAAAUGAAUUUCUUUGAAUUCAUGGAAUUAAUUAUGAACAUGUUUUAAACUCUUGAUGCUUAACCUUAAAAGCAUGUCUGAACUUAGAACAAAUGAUUUAGAGUAUUUCGCUUAUAGAAUAACUCUUGAAGAAAUUAGUGACCGGGGAUAAGUUAGAGUAUGAUUAUAAUGUAAGGAACGGUCAUAAAUUGUUUAUAGAACUUAUGUGCUAUUUAGAUGAUCUAAAAGUUCAUGAUUAUUGUUAUGUGUAUUCGAUUAUAUACUUGACUAGAAUUAUGUGGAUUAGAACUUCGUGUGUGAUAAAUUAAAUAUACGCUUGAUUGUGGUUUAAUCUUGUACAAGUAUCUAUAGAUAUAAUAUAUGUAUAUAUAUCUAUAUAUGUAUUUAGGCCUGCGUGGUUGUGAUUAUACUCCAACCCAUGGCUUAUGUAUUAUAAGUAUGCUACUAUAUAUAAAUAUAUAUAUAUAUAUAUAUAUAUAUAUAUAUAUAUAUAUAUAUAUAUAUAUAUAUAUAUAUAUAUAUAUAUAUAUAUAUAUAUAUAUAUAUAUAUAUAUAUAUAUAUAUAUAUAUAUAUAUAUAUAUAUGCCUACGUGGUCGUGAUUAUACUCCGAUCCAUGGCUUAUGAAUUAUACUUAUAUAUCUAAAUUGUUGUUAUGUGAUCUUGUGGUAAAGGUAAAGUACUCGAUGCUUUAUGUGAAAUAUUAUAUAGCUAUGGCCUAAGGUGCAUUUAAAUGCGAUAUAAGUGAUAUUUUUAAUGAUACGAAUGUGUGAUUAUGUGGUUAUAUGAUUAUGUGAUUAUGUGACUAUGAUAUGAUUAAAAUUGAGGAAUGCCCUCCUUUGUGCUACUUUGGGUUAUGAAAUGUUAUGUGUACUUUUGAAGUGAAAGUGUUAUGUUCUAUAUGAUUAUGUGUUUAAUGAUUUGAUUAAAGAUUUGAAGUAUAGUUGGUAUGGUACUUGUUACUUUGUUGUUUGUUUAUGUGAAAGUAAAGAUAGAUAAAUCAUAUGAUUCAUUAGUAAGUCUAGGAUACAUAAAUCAUGACUUUUCAAAGUUAAAAAUGUUUGGAAAUUGGUUGUGGAUCUAGGUGAAUAAGUAUGGGAUACGGGGGGCUGGUAUUCCGUUAGUGGUUAAUAGUUGGGGUCCACAUAGGGGCCUGUCCACAUAGGGACUGAUUCACAUAGGAAUCGGGAUUAUAAACCACUAACUCGGCUAUAGUAAAGUUAUAGCCGUGACUAUAUUCCGGUUAGUGGUUGAUAGUUGGGGUCUACAUAGGGGCCUGUCCACAUAGGGACUGAUUCACAUAGGAAUCGGGAUUAUAAACCACUAGCUCGGCGAUAGUAAAGUUAUAGUCGUGACUAUAGUAAAGUUAUAGAUCACAAGCUCCAAAAUACACGGCUUAUUGCCGAACUCCACGAUUGUUUUUCCAAACGGGCCCAAUGUUUUCUCAUGCAUUAUUUCAUGAAAAGUCUAGAAGUCUAAAGUUGCAUAUUGCAUAUUGCAUAGUAAAGUUAAAAGGGUGUUAAGUACCCUUAAAAGAUAGAAGGGUGUUAAGUACCCGAUUAUAAAAGAAAGUUGGAUGUUAAGUAUCCGUGAAUGUUUAAAGUAACAGGUAAUUGUGACAUUCAUGUUAAGUGUAUGAAUGAAUGAUUGCAAGUUUAUUAUAUGCCUAAUUUUAUGUAUUAAGUUUCUUAUGUGGCCAAUUAUAUGUGAUAUGAAUGAAUGUCAUGAUAUUGAAUAAAUGAAUAUAGUUAUGCCAUAAAAGACGUAGAUGAAAAGAACAUAGACAAGGACUUUAGGACUCCCGUAGGGCGUGAGUGACAUGUUGAGAGAGGUGUGAGUAUCGUCAGGCCAAUGUUCUUACUGAGCCAGUGGUUAGGCUCACGCUUUAUGCGAAUCCCCUUUUCAGGUCCUCAAUGUAAUCAGAGUGGCGCAGCGGAGCGGAGUUGGAGGAAUCACAAGCCUUGAUGCCUUAUAUGUCUUCUCCGGAUUUCUUAUAAAAUUAUGUCUCCACUUUUCCCUUUUAAAAGUCUAAUGUAUAAUGGAGAUCUUUAUGAGUUCAUUUUGUACUCUGAUUUUGGAAUCUAGUCUAUUAAACCGGGGUAUAUAAAUAAAGUUUAAUUUCUUCCGCUGUAUUCUGUAAACCCC